UCGAGAAUACAUCGCAACCGAUUACAGGAAAAAUAAUUCAGAAAGCGGCGACCAUGCGAGGCGAUAAUCAGUUUUGAUUGAAUUAAAAUAAUCGGCGAAUCUGAAGCCGAAGAUGGUGGUAGCCAGCAAUGGAACUAUUGUUGGAGGAGUGUCGAGGACUGAGUGGAGAUGUGGCGGGCCAGCCAUUGGUGAUUGGUGGUGGCCAGAAAAGAGAAACUGACAGAGGGAUUACGACAGCAACGGCGAGAAAUCGGCGCCAAAUGGGUUUGAGGAGAAGGUUAAAGAAAGGGCAAUGGAAGGAAGGGGCGGUGGUGCCGACUUCGGCACAUCGCAGACCGACCGUACUGGAGGGAGGGGUACUGGAGGGAGGGGCAGCGGCGCUGACUUAAGGC
RNAcentral lists this long non-coding RNA (392 nucleotides) under Salvia miltiorrhiza (redroot sage). Its description in RNAcentral is "long non-coding RNA (SMIL_LNC000108)". Lineage: Eukaryota; Viridiplantae; Streptophyta; Magnoliopsida; Lamiales; Lamiaceae. The record is from RNAcentral.